AUUGAACGCUGGCGGCAGGCCUAACACAUGCAAGUCGAGCGGAUGAAGGGAGCUUGCUCCUGGAUUCAGCGGCGGACGGGUGAGUAAUGCCUAGGAAUCUGCCUGGUAGUGGGGGAUAACGUCCAGAAACGGGCGCUAAUACCGCAUACGUCCUGAGGGAGAAAGUGGGGGAUCUUCGGACCUCACGCUAUCAGAUGAGCCUAGGUCGGAUUAGCUAGUUGGUGGGGUAAAGGCCUACCAAGGCGACGAUCCGUAACUGGUCUGAGAGGAUGAUCAGUCACACUGGAACUGAGACACGGUCCAGACGCCUACGGGAGGCAGCAGUGGGGAAUAGUGGACAAUGGGCGAAAGCCUGAUCCAGCCAUGCCGCGUGUGUGAAGAAGGUCUUCGGAUUGUAAAGCACUUUAAGUUGGGAGGAAGGGCAGUAAGUUAAUACCUUGCUGUUUUGACGUUACCAACAGAAUAAGCACCGGCUAACUUCGUG
This 484-nucleotide ribosomal RNA is filed under the name uncultured bacterium. RNAcentral describes it as "partial 16S ribosomal RNA". It matches the Rfam family "Bacterial small subunit ribosomal RNA", at positions 30 to 507 of the family's 1533-position model. The record is from RNAcentral.